GACGAACGCUGGCGGCGUGCUUAACACAUGCAAGUCGAACGGUGGAGCUCCAGCUGCCUGGAGUGGAUCAGGGGCGAACGGGGGAGGAACACGUGAGCAACCUGCCCCUGACUCUGGAGUAGGCGCUGGAAAGGGCGUCUAAGCCAGGAUACGAGACGGGUCCGCAUGGGCACUUUCUGAAAUUUUUUUCGGUUGGGGCUGGGCUCGCGGCCUAUCGACUUGUUGGUGGGGGAGUGGCUCACCAAGGCAACGGCGGGUAGCCGGCAUGGGAGCGCGACCGGCCACCAUGGUACUGCGACACGGCCCAGACUCCUACGGGAGGCAGCAGUGGGAAAUAUUGCCCAAUGGGCGCACGCCUGAUGCAGCGACGCCGCGUGUGGGAUGCCGGCCUUCGGGUUGUAAACCUCUUUCAGCAGGGAAGAAGCGAAAGUGACGGUACCUGCAGAAGAAGCACCGGCUAACUACGUG
Molecule: ribosomal RNA, 468 nt
Filed under: uncultured bacterium
Lineage: Bacteria
Description: partial 16S ribosomal RNA
Rfam family: Bacterial small subunit ribosomal RNA
Source: RNAcentral